RNAcentral lists this transfer RNA (70 nucleotides) under Marmota marmota marmota (Alpine marmot). It matches the Rfam family "tRNA". Rfam says of the family: Transfer RNA (tRNA) molecules are approximately 80 nucleotides in length. Their secondary structure includes four short double-helical elements and three loops (D, anti-codon, and T loops). The record is from Rfam by way of RNAcentral. RNAcentral also lists the same sequence under 2 other names. Lineage: Eukaryota; Metazoa; Chordata; Mammalia; Rodentia; Sciuridae.
GGGGAUAUAGCUCAGUUGGUAGAGUGCUUGCCUGGCAUGCAUAAGGCUCUGGGUACAAUCCCCAGCACCA